GCCACUGUGGCCAAGUUGGUAAGGCACUGGAUUUGUAAUCCAGAGAUCGGGGGUUCAAAUCCCUCCGGUGGCUCCA
RNAcentral lists this transfer RNA (76 nucleotides) under Candidatus Poseidoniales archaeon. RNAcentral describes it as "tRNA-Thr". It matches the Rfam family "tRNA". From Rfam's summary of the family: Transfer RNA (tRNA) molecules are approximately 80 nucleotides in length. Their secondary structure includes four short double-helical elements and three loops (D, anti-codon, and T loops). The record is from RNAcentral. Lineage: Archaea; Methanobacteriati; Thermoplasmatota; Candidatus Poseidoniia; Candidatus Poseidoniales.